RNAcentral lists this unclassified non-coding RNA (230 nucleotides) under Hevea brasiliensis (rubber tree). The record is from RNAcentral. Lineage: Eukaryota; Viridiplantae; Streptophyta; Magnoliopsida; Malpighiales; Euphorbiaceae.
CGAGCUCCCACGAUGGGCAUUGGACAAUAUAUUGAUCGCAUCUUGAAGUACACAUGUUGUGGCACUCCUUGCUUAGUUGUUGCCUACAUAUACAUUGAAAGGUAUCUUCAAAAGAUGGAUGCUUACCUAACUUCUUUGAAUGUCCACCGCCUUCUGAUCACCAGCAUAAUGGUUGCAGCGAAGUUUAUUGAUGCCGGGUGCUAUAACAAUACUUUUUAUGCCAAAGUUGG